This 477-nucleotide ribosomal RNA is filed under the name uncultured bacterium. RNAcentral describes it as "partial 16S ribosomal RNA". It matches the Rfam family "Bacterial small subunit ribosomal RNA", at positions 30 to 507 of the family's 1533-position model. The record is from RNAcentral.
AUUGAACGCUGGCGGCAUGCCUUACACAUGCAAGUCGAACGGUAACAGGUUAAGCUGACGAGUGGCGAACGGGUGAGUAAUGUAUCGGAACGUGCCCAGUCGUGGGGGAUAACUGCUCGAAAGAGCAGCUAAUACCGCAUACGACCUGAGGGUGAAAGCGGGGGAUCGCAAGACCUCGCGCGAUUGGAGCGGCCGAUAUCAGAUUAGGUAGUUGGUGAGGUAAAGGCUCACCAAGCCGACGAUCUGUAGCUGGUCUGAGAGGACGACCAGCCACACUGGGACUGAGACACGGCCCAGACUCCUAUGGGAGGCAGCAGUGGGGAAUUUUGGACAAUGGGCGCAAGCCUGAUCCAGCCAUGCCGCGUGCGGGAAGAAGGCCUUCGGGUUGUAAACCGCUUUUGUCAGGGAAGAAAAGGUUCUGGCUAAUACCUGGGACUCAUGACGGUACCUGAAGAAUAAGCACCGGCUAACUACGUG